This 480-nucleotide ribosomal RNA is filed under the name uncultured bacterium. RNAcentral describes it as "bacterial SSU rRNA". It matches the Rfam family "Bacterial small subunit ribosomal RNA", at positions 28 to 526 of the family's 1533-position model. The record is from RNAcentral.
GACGAACGCUGGCGGCGUGCUUAACACAUGCAAGUCGAGCGGUGAAGCCCUUCGGGGUGGAUCAGCGGCGAACGGGUGAGUAACACGUGAGCAACCUGCCCCCGACUCUGGGAUAGCCUCGGGAAACCGGGAUUAAUACCGGAUAUGACACCUCCUCGCAUGGGGUGGUGUGGAAAGUUCUUCGGUCGGGGAUGGGCUCGCGGCCUAUCAGCUUGUUGGUGGGGUGAUGGCCCACCAAGGCGACGACGGGUAGCCGGCCUGAGAGGGUGACCGGCCACACUGGGACUGAGACACGGCCCAGACUCCUACGGGAGGCAGCAGUGGGGAAUAUUGCGCAAUGGGCGGAAGCCUGACGCAGCGACGCCGCGUGAGGGAUGAAGGCCUUCGGGUUGUAAACCUCUUUCAGCAGGGAAGAAGCGUGAGUGACGGUACCUGCAGAAGAAGCACCGGCUAACUACGUGCCAGCCGCCGCGGUAAAAC